RNAcentral lists this ribosomal RNA (755 nucleotides) under uncultured Hyphomicrobiales bacterium. Its description in RNAcentral is "bacterial SSU rRNA". It matches the Rfam family "Bacterial small subunit ribosomal RNA", at positions 8 to 796 of the family's 1533-position model. Lineage: Bacteria; Pseudomonadati; Pseudomonadota; Alphaproteobacteria; Hyphomicrobiales. The record is from RNAcentral.
AGAGUUUGAUCCUGGCUCAGAACGAACGCUGGCGGCAGGCUUAACACAUGCAAGUCGAACGCUCACCUUCGGGUGGGAGUGGCAGACGGGUGAGUAACGCGUGGGAACGUACCCUUCGGUUCGGAAUAACCCAGGGAAACCUGGGCUAAUACCGGAUGCGCCCUCGGGCUUGCCCCGAGGGGAAAGGUUCACUGCCGAAGGAUCGGCCCGCGUCGGAUUAGCUGGACGGUGGGGUAACGGCCUACCGUGGCGACGAUCCGUAGCUGGUCUGAGAGGAUGAUCAGCCACACUGGGACUGAGACACGGCCCAGACUCCUACGGGAGGCAGCAGUGGGGAAUAUUGGUCAAUGGGCGCAAGCCUGAACCAGCCAUGCCGCGUGAGUGAUGAAGGCCUUAGGGUUGUAAAGCUCUUUCGGCGGGGACGAUAAUGACGGUACCCGCAGAAGAAGCCCCGGCUAACUUCGUGCCAGCAGCCGCGGUAAGACGAACCGUGCGAACGUUAUUCGGAAUCACUGGGCUUAAAGGGCGCGUAGGCGGGCUCGUAAGUCAGGGGUGAAAGCCCACGGCCCAACCGUGGAAGUGCCUCUGAUACUGCGGGCCUCGAGGGGGGUAGGGGCGUGCGGAACUCAGGGUGGAGCGGUGAAAUGCGUAGAUAUCCUGAGGAACACCGGUGGCGAAAGCGGCGCGCUGGAUCCCUUCUGACGCUGAGGCGCGAAAGCCAGGGGAGCAAACGGGAUUAGAUACCCCCGUAGUCC